RNAcentral lists this ribosomal RNA (468 nucleotides) under uncultured bacterium. RNAcentral's name for it is "partial 16S ribosomal RNA". It matches the Rfam family "Bacterial small subunit ribosomal RNA", at positions 28 to 507 of the family's 1533-position model. The record is from RNAcentral.
GACGAACGCUGGCGGCGUGCUUAACACAUGCAAGUCGAGCGGAAAGGCCCUGCGCUUGUGGGGUGCUCGAGUGGCGAACGGGUGAGUAACACGUGAGUAACCUGCCCUUGACUUUGGGAUAACUUCAGGAAACUGGGGCUAAUACCGGAUAGGAGCUCCUGCUGCAUGGUGGGGGUUGGAAAGUUUCGGCGGUUGGGGAUGGACUCGCGGCUUAUCAGCUUGUUGGUGGGGUAGUGGCUUACCAAGGCUUUGACGGGUAGCCGGCCUGAGAGGGUGACCGGCCACAUUGGGACUGAGAGACGGACCAGACUCCUACGGGAGGCAGCAGUGGGGAAUAUUGCACAAUGGGCGGAAGCCUGAUGCAGCAACGCCGCGUGCGGGAUGACGGCCUUCGGGUUGUAAACCGCUUUCGCCUGUGACGAAGCGUGAGUGACGGUAAUGGGUAAAGAAGCACCGGCUAACUACGUG